AAUAGAUACCCUGGUAGUCCACGCCGUAAACGAUGAGUGCUAGGUGUUGGGGGGGGUCCACCCCUCGGUGCCGAAGUUAACACAUUAAGCACUCCGCCUGGGGAGUACGGUCGCAAGACUGAAACUCAAAGGAAUUGACGGGGACCCGCACAAGCAGUGGAGUAUGUGGUUUAAUUCGAAGCAACGCGAAGAACCUUACCAGGUCUUGACAUCCCUCUGAAUACGCUAGAGAUAGCGUAGGCCUUCGGGACAGAGGAGACAGGUGGUGCAUGGUUGUCGUCAGCUCGUGUCGUGAGAUGUUGGGUUAAGUCCCGCAACGAGCGCAACCCUUAAGCUUAGUUGCCAGCACGUAAAGGUGGGCACUCUAAGGUGACUGCCGGUGACAAACCGGAGGAAGGCGGGGAUGACGUCAAAUCAUCAUGCCCCUUAUGACCUGGGCUACACACGUACUACAAUGGCCGGUACAACGGGCAGCGAAGGGGCGACCCGGAGCCAAUCCUAUCAAAGCCGGUCUCAGUUCGGAUUGCAGGCUGCAACUCG
RNAcentral lists this ribosomal RNA (540 nucleotides) under uncultured bacterium. RNAcentral describes it as "bacterial SSU rRNA". It matches the Rfam family "Bacterial small subunit ribosomal RNA", at positions 777 to 1314 of the family's 1533-position model. The record is from RNAcentral.